This 2927-nucleotide ribosomal RNA is filed under the name Klebsiella michiganensis. RNAcentral describes it as "23S ribosomal RNA". It matches the Rfam family "Bacterial large subunit ribosomal RNA". The record is from RNAcentral. Lineage: Bacteria; Pseudomonadati; Pseudomonadota; Gammaproteobacteria; Enterobacterales; Enterobacteriaceae.
GGGUUGUGAGGUUAAGCGACUAAGCGUACACGGUGGAUGCCCUGGCAGUCAGAGGCGAUGAAGGACGUGCUAAUCUGCGAAAAGCGUCGGUAAGGUGAUAUGAACCGUUAUAGCCGGCGAUGUCCGAAUGGGGAAACCCAGUGCAAUUCGUUGCACUAUCGUUAACUGAAUACAUAGGUUAACGAGGCGAACCGGGGGAACUGAAACAUCUAAGUACCCCGAGGAAAAGAAAUCAACCGAGAUUCCCCCAGUAGCGGCGAGCGAACGGGGAGCAGCCCGGAGUCUGAAUCAGCUUGUGUGUUAGUGGAAGCGUCUGGAAAGUCGCAGGGUACAGGGUGAUACUCCCGUACACUAAAACACACAGGUUGUGAACUCGAAGAGUAGGGCGGGACACGUGGUAUCCUGUCUGAAUAUGGGGGGACCAUCCUCCAAGGCUAAAUACUCCUGACUGACCGAUAGUGAACCAGUACCGUGAGGGAAAGGCGAAAAGAACCCCGGCGAGGGGAGUGAAAAAGAACCUGAAACCGUGUACGUACAAGCAGUAGGAGCCCACUUGUUGGGUGACUGCGUACCUUUUGUAUAAUGGGUCAGCGACUUAUAUUCUGUAGCAAGGUUAACCGUAUAGGGGAGCCGCAGGGAAACCGAGUCUUAACUGGGCGUUAAGUUGCAGGGUAUAGACCCGAAACCCGGUGAUCUAGCCAUGGGCAGGUUGAAGGUUGGGUAACACUAACUGGAGGACCGAACCGACUAAUGUUGAAAAAUUAGCGGAUGACUUGUGGCUGGGGGUGAAAGGCCAAUCAAACCGGGAGAUAGCUGGUUCUCCCCGAAAGCUAUUUAGGUAGCGCCUCGUGAAUUCAUCUUCGGGGGUAGAGCACUGUUUCGGCUAGGGGGUCAUCCCGACUUACCAACCCGAUGCAAACUACGAAUACCGAAGAAUGUUAUCACGGGAGACACACGGCGGGUGCUAACGUCCGUCGUGAAGAGGGAAACAACCCAGACCGCCAGCUAAGGUCCCAAAGUCAUGGUUAAGUGGGAAACGAUGUGGGAAGGCCCAGACAGCCAGGAUGUUGGCUUAGAAGCAGCCAUCAUUUAAAGAAAGCGUAAUAGCUCACUGGUCGAGUCGGCCUGCGCGGAAGAUGUAACGGGGCUAAACCAUGCACCGAAGCUGCGGCAGCGACACUAUGUGUUGUUGGGUAGGGGAGCGUUCUGUAAGCCGUUGAAGGUGGCCUGUGAGGGUUGCUGGAGGUAUCAGAAGUGCGAAUGCUGACAUAAGUAACGAUAAUGCGGGUGAAAAACCCGCACGCCGGAAGACCAAGGGUUCCUGUCCAACGUUAAUCGGGGCAGGGUGAGUCGACCCCUAAGGCGAGGCCGAAAGGCGUAGUCGAUGGGAAACAGGUUAAUAUUCCUGUACUCGGUGUUACUGCGAAGGGGGGACGGAGAAGGCUAUGUUGGCCGGGCGACGGUUGUCCCGGUUUAAGCAUGUAGGCGGAUGUUCCAGGUAAAUCCGGAACGUCACUAACGCUGAGGUGUGAUGACGAGGCACUACGGUGCUGAAGUGACAAAUGCCCUGCUUCCAGGAAAAGCCUCUAAGCAUCAGGUAACAUCAAAUCGUACCCCAAACCGACACAGGUGGUCAGGUAGAGAAUACCAAGGCGCUUGAGAGAACUCGGGUGAAGGAACUAGGCAAAAUGGUGCCGUAACUUCGGGAGAAGGCACGCUGAUGGUAGGUGAAGCGACUUGCUCGUGGAGCUGAAAUCAGUCGAAGAUACCAGCUGGCUGCAACUGUUUAUUAAAAACACAGCACUGUGCAAACACGAAAGUGGACGUAUACGGUGUGACGCCUGCCCGGUGCCGGAAGGUUAAUUGAUGGGGUUAUCCGUAAGGAGAAGCUCUUGAUCGAAGCCCCGGUAAACGGCGGCCGUAACUAUAACGGUCCUAAGGUAGCGAAAUUCCUUGUCGGGUAAGUUCCGACCUGCACGAAUGGCGUAAUGAUGGCCAGGCUGUCUCCACCCGAGACUCAGUGAAAUUGAACUCGCUGUGAAGAUGCAGUGUACCCGCGGCAAGACGGAAAGACCCCGUGAACCUUUACUAUAGCUUGACACUGAACACUGGUCCUUGAUGUGUAGGAUAGGUGGGAGGCUUUGAAGUGUGGACGCCAGUCUGCAUGGAGCCAUCCUUGAAAUACCACCCUUUAAUGGCUGGUGUUCUAACGUGGGCCCCUAAUCGGGGUUGCGGACAGUGUCUGGUGGGUAGUUUGACUGGGGCGGUCUCCUCCUAAAGAGUAACGGAGGAGCACGAAGGUCAGCUAAUCCUGGUCGGACAUCAGGAGGUUAGUGCAAUGGCAUAAGCUGGCUUGACUGCGAGCGUGACGGCGCGAGCAGGUGCGAAAGCAGGUCAUAGUGAUCCGGUGGUUCUGAAUGGAAGGGCCAUCGCUCAACGGAUAAAAGGUACUCCGGGGAUAACAGGCUGAUACCGCCCAAGAGUUCAUAUCGACGGCGGUGUUUGGCACCUCGAUGUCGGCUCAUCACAUCCUGGGGCUGAAGUAGGUCCCAAGGGUAUGGCUGUUCGCCAUUUAAAGUGGUACGCGAGCUGGGUUUAGAACGUCGUGAGACAGUUCGGUCCCUAUCUGCCGUGGGCGCUGGAGAAUUGAGGGGGGCUGCUCCUAGUACGAGAGGACCGGAGUGGACGCAUCACUGGUGUUCGGGUUGUCAUGCCAAUGGCAUUGCCCGGUAGCUAAAUGCGGAAGAGAUAAGUGCUGAAAGCAUCUAAGCACGAAACUUGCCCCGAGAUGAGUUCUCCCUGACUCCUUGAGAGUCCUGAAGGAACGUUGAAGACGACGACGUUGAUAGGCCGGGUGUGUAAGCGCAGCGAUGCGUUGAGCUAACCGGUACUAAUGAACCGUGAGGCUUAACCUUACAACGCCGAAG